CUGAGUACUACACUCUCUACCCUUUGUGAACUAUUAUACCUGUUGCUUCGGCGGCGCCCGCGAGGGUGCCCGCCGGUCUCAUCAGAAUCUCUGUUGUCGAACCCGACGAUACUUCUGAGUGUUCUUAGCGAACUGUCA
This 138-nucleotide unclassified non-coding RNA is filed under the name soil metagenome. RNAcentral's name for it is "partial internal transcribed spacer 1". The record is from RNAcentral.